AGCAGCCGCGGUAAUUCCAGCUCCAAUAGCGUAUAUUAAAGUUGUUGCAGUUAAAAGCUCGUAGUUGAAUUUCGGGAUCAAUAUGUUGGUCGUGCCUCGGUACGUACUAGCAUAUUGGUUUCUCCUUUCUGAAGAACCAUGAUGUCAUUUAUUUGGUGUCGUGGGGAAUCAGGACUGUUACUUUGAAAAAAUUAGAGUGUUUAAAGCAGGCUCACGCUUGAAUACAUUAGCAUGGAAUAAUGAAAUAGGACGUUUGAUUCUAUUUUGUUGGUUUCUAGGAUCGACGUAAUGAUUAAUAGGGAUAGUUGGGGGCAUUAGUAUUCAAUUGCCAGAGGUGAAAUUCUUGGAUUUAUGAAGACUAACUACUGCGAAAGCAUUUGCCAAGGAUGUUUUCAUUAAUCAAGAACGAAAGUUAGGGGAUCGAAGACGAUCAGAUACCGUCGUAGUCUUAACCAUAAACUAUGCCGACUAGGGAUCGGAUGAUGUUAAUUUUUUUGAAUGACUCAUUUC
This 510-nucleotide unclassified non-coding RNA is filed under the name uncultured Glomus. RNAcentral describes it as "SSU rRNA". It matches the Rfam family "Eukaryotic small subunit ribosomal RNA", at positions 569 to 1082 of the family's 1831-position model. The record is from RNAcentral. Lineage: Eukaryota; Fungi; Glomeromycota; Glomeromycetes; Glomerales; Glomeraceae.